This 253-nucleotide ribosomal RNA is filed under the name uncultured bacterium. Its description in RNAcentral is "partial 16S ribosomal RNA". It matches the Rfam family "Bacterial small subunit ribosomal RNA", at positions 524 to 776 of the family's 1533-position model. The record is from RNAcentral.
UACGGAGGGGGCUAGCGUUGUUCGGAAUUACUUGGCGUAAAGCGCGCGUAGGCGGACCUGCAAGUCUGGGGUGAAAGCCCGAGGCUCAACCUCGGAACUGCCUUCGAUACUGCGGGUCUCGAGUCCGGGAGAGGUGAGUGGAAUUCCUAGUGUAGAGGUGAAAUUCGUAGAUAUUAGGAAGAACACCAGUGGCGAAGGCGGCUCACUGGCCCGGUACUGACGCUGAGGCGCGAAAGCGUGGGGAGCAAACAGG